RNAcentral lists this ribosomal RNA (929 nucleotides) under Xylaria sp. genotype 354. RNAcentral describes it as "eukaryotic LSU rRNA". The stretch from base 344 to 929 matches the Rfam family "Eukaryotic large subunit ribosomal RNA", at positions 1 to 597 of the family's 3401-position model. The record is from RNAcentral. Lineage: Eukaryota; Fungi; Ascomycota; Sordariomycetes; Xylariales; Xylariaceae.
GAAGAUAUAUAUAAAAUAAGUUAAAACUUUCAACAACGGAUCUCUUGGUUCUGGCAUCGAUGAAGAACGCAGCGAAAUGCGAUAAGUAAUGUGAAUUGCAGAAUUCAGUGAAUCAUCGAAUCUUUGAACGCACAUUGCGCCCAUUAGUAUUCUAGUGGGCAUGCCUGUUCGAGCGUCAUUUCAACCCUUAAGCCCCUGUUGCUUAGCGUUGGGAGCCUACAGCCUGGCUGUAGUUCCUAAAAGUGAGUGGCGGAGUUGGUUCACACUCUAGACGUAGUAAAUCUUUUAUCUCGCCUAUAGAUGAGCCGGCGCCCUGCCAUAAAACCCCCCUAUUUUAUAAGGUUGACCUCGGAUCAGGUAGGAAUACCCGCUGAACUUAAGCAUAUCAAUAAGCGGAGGAAAAGAAACCAACAGGGAUUGCCCUAGUAACGGCGAGUGAAGCGGCAACAGCUCAAAUUUGAAAUCUGGCCUUCGGGUCCGAGUUGUAAUUUGUAGAGGAUGCUUUUGGCGCGGUGCCUUCCGAGUUCCCUGGAACGGGACGCCUUAGAGGGUGAGAGCCCCGUACGGUUGGACACCAAGCCUCUGUAAAGCUCCUUCGACGAGUCGAGUAGUUUGGGAAUGCUGCUCUAAAUGGGAGGUAAAUUUCUUCUAAAGCUAAAUAUUGGCCAGAGACCGAUAGCGCACAAGUAGAGUGAUCGAAAGAUGAAAAGCACUUUGAAAAGAGGGUUAAAAAGCACGUGAAAUUGUUGAAAGGGAAGCGUUUGCGACCAGACCUUUUCCCAGCGGAUCAUCCGGUGUUCUCACCGGUGCACUUCGCUGGGUGGAGGCCAGCAUCGGUUUCCGUAGGGGGAUAAAAGCCUGGGGAACGUAGCUCCCUCGGGAGUGUUAUAGCCCCUCGCAUAAUACCCUUCCGGGGACCGAGGACCGCG